RNAcentral lists this ribosomal RNA (253 nucleotides) under uncultured bacterium. RNAcentral's name for it is "partial 16S ribosomal RNA". It matches the Rfam family "Bacterial small subunit ribosomal RNA", at positions 524 to 776 of the family's 1533-position model. The record is from RNAcentral.
UACGUAGGGGGCUAGCGUUGUCCGGAAUCAUUGGGCGUAAAGCGCGCGUAGGCGGCCCGGUAAGUCCGCUCUGAAAGUCCAGGGCUCAACCCUGGAAUGCGGGUGGAUACUGCCGGGCUAGAGUCCGGAAGAGGCGAGUGGAAUUCCUGGUGUAGCGGUGGAAUGCGUAGAUAUCGGGAGGAACACCAGUGGCGAAGGCGACUACCUGGCCCGUUCUUGACGCUGAGGCGCGAAAGCUAGGGGAGCAAACGGG